AGAUGUGAGGGCGACUUGGCUGUGAUAUGUUACCCUACAGAUCGCCAGGGUUGAUUUGCUGAUCUGGCUGUCUAGGCAGGCGUCCCUGUCCUCAUCACCCCAUGUGCAUCCCUCCCAAAGCUGCAUACUUGGUCAAAGAGGACAUCCACUCUGAUAGAGGCAGACCGUUCCUAGGUCAAGGUUAUCUAGGUCAAGGCUCUUAUC
RNAcentral lists this small RNA (204 nucleotides) under Fukomys damarensis (Damara mole-rat). RNAcentral's name for it is "7SK RNA (ENSFDAG00000020606.1)". It matches the Rfam family "7SK RNA", at positions 1 to 212 of the family's 331-position model. Rfam says of the family: 7SK was discovered as an abundant small nuclear RNA in the mid-70s but a possible function has only recently been suggested. Two independent studies have found that 7SK RNA binds the CDK9/cyclin T complex (known as elongation factor P-TEFb). Lineage: Eukaryota; Metazoa; Chordata; Mammalia; Rodentia; Bathyergidae. The record is from RNAcentral.